Molecule: ribosomal RNA, 465 nt
Filed under: Vreelandella stevensii
Lineage: Bacteria; Pseudomonadati; Pseudomonadota; Gammaproteobacteria; Oceanospirillales; Halomonadaceae
Description: partial 16S ribosomal RNA
Rfam family: Bacterial small subunit ribosomal RNA
Source: RNAcentral
CCUACGGAGGGCAGCAGUGGGGAAUAUUGGACAAUGGGCGAAAGCCUGAUCCAGCCAUGCCGCGUGUGUGAAGAAGGCCUUCGGGUUGUAAAGCACUUUCAGUGGGGAAGAAAGCCUUGGGGCUAAUACCCUCGAGGAAGGACAUCACCCACAGAGGAAGCACCGGCUAACUCCGUGCCAGCAGCCGCGGUAAUACGGAGGGUGCGAGCGUUAAUCGGAAUUACUGGGCGUAAAGCGCGCGUAGGCGGUCUGAUAAGCCGGUUGUGAAAGCCCCGGGCUCAACCUGGGAACGGCAUCCGGAACUGUCAGGCUAGAGUGCAGGAGAGGAAGGUAGAAUUCCCGGUGUAGCGGUGAAAUGCGUAGAGAUCGGGAGGAAUACCAGUGGCGAAGGCGGCCUUCUGGACUGACACUGACGCUGAGGUGCGAAAGCGUGGGUAGCAAACAGGAUUAGAUACCCCUGUAGUC